RNAcentral lists this ribosomal RNA (497 nucleotides) under uncultured bacterium. RNAcentral describes it as "partial 16S ribosomal RNA". It matches the Rfam family "Bacterial small subunit ribosomal RNA", at positions 28 to 507 of the family's 1533-position model. The record is from RNAcentral.
GACGAACGCUGGCGGCGUGCCUAAUACAUGCAAGUUGAGCGCUGAAGGUUGGUACUUGUACCAACUGGAUGAGCAGCGAACGGGUGAGUAACGCGUGGGGAAUCUGCCUUUGAGCGGGGGACAACAUUUGGAAACGAAUGCUAAUACCGCAUAAAAACUUUAAACACAAGUUUUAAGUUUGAAAGAUGCAAUUGCAUCACUCAAAGAUGAUUCCGCGUUGUAUUAGCUAGUUGGUGAGGUAAAGGCUCACCAAGGCGAUGAUACAUAGCCGACCUGAGAGGGUGAUCGGCCACAUUGGGACUGAGACACGGCCCAAACUCCUACGGGAGGCAGCAGUAGGGAAUCUUCGGCAAUGGACGAAAGUCUGACCGAGCAACGCCGCGUGAGGGAAGAAGGUUUUCGGAUCGUAAAACUCUGUUGGUAGAGAAGAACGUUGGUGAGAGUGGAAAGCUCAUCAAGUGACGGUAACUACCCAGAAAGGGACGGCUAACUACGUG